Molecule: long non-coding RNA, 895 nt
Organism: Paramisgurnus dabryanus
Lineage: Eukaryota; Metazoa; Chordata; Actinopteri; Cypriniformes; Cobitidae
Source: RefSeq, a predicted model, not a curated record
GUGUAAAUCCAUUCUACACCAUGUGUGUAAUGAGCAUGAGUGUACAGAUGAUGACAGAGGACAUCCUGUGGCAUUUCAAGACCUGUCAUCGCUGGUCCUUGAUAAAAGACUUCUGAGAGACAUGGAAAAGAUGGCCCUGUUCAAACAUACUGGGCCGCUGGAAGUCUUUCACAGCGCACUUUUGAAAUACCUCCCCAAUGUUAGUUCCUGCACUACAAUGGAGAAGCACGGUUCAACCAAAUGUUCUGCAAGAGAUCCAAGCAGUGGGUCUUGAAGAAAAGCUUCAUACCACACAGUUUGUAGACGAACUCAUCCAGAAGGCCAUUGACAAAAGACUCAAUCCAAACAUUGUGUUCAACGUGCCAACCUCCCCACUGCCACCCAACAUUGCACCAGUGCCUAAACCAUCAAAGGAGGCUGCCACGACUUCUUUCAAAAGUCACUUCUGAGACUGACACUUUCUAAUAAUAAUAAUAACAAUCACCUCUUCCCUGAGUUCUAUUGCUGUGCCUAAUCAGAUUCUGCCACCACUCUUAUAUUUAUAUUAUUAUAUACUGUGUGUAUAUACACACAUAAUUAUUAUUAUGUUUUGCUUUGUUUUUAUUUUGUGCAGGACAUUUUUAGAUGUAAAUUAUGUCCUUGUUUAUUUUAAUGUGUUCUUUCCACUGGUGGCACAAUAUAUUUCCUUUUUGAAUAAUAAAAAAUACAUUUCUUCAUCUAACCCUGUCUUUUGUACACCAAAGUUAUACAUUAUAGACUUGUGGAGGCGCAAUGAUUACUGUUACUGUGAUUUAGCUGUCAUUACUUACUUUACAAAAUAAUUUGGGUUAAAAAUAAAGCCAAAUAUUAUGUGUGUUACAGAAUUUAGACCUAAACUUUAAAAAACGAAUGCUUU